UACGUAGGGUGCAAGCGUUAAUCGGAAUUACUGGGCGUAAAGCGUGCGCAGGCGGUUUUGUAAGUCUGUCGUGAAAUCCCCGGGCUCAACCUGGGAAUUGCGAUGGAGACUGCAAGGCUAGAAUCUGGCAGAGGGGGGUAGAAUUCCACGUGUAGCAGUGAAAUGCGUAGAGAUGUGGAGGAACACCGAUGGCGAAGGCAGCCCCCUGGGUCAAGGAUUGACGCUCAUGCACGAAAGGCGUGGGGAGCAAACGAG
RNAcentral lists this ribosomal RNA (255 nucleotides) under uncultured bacterium. Its description in RNAcentral is "partial 16S ribosomal RNA". It matches the Rfam family "Bacterial small subunit ribosomal RNA", at positions 524 to 776 of the family's 1533-position model. The record is from RNAcentral.